GUGUCAGCAGCCGCGGUAAUACGGAGGGUGCAAGCGUUAUCCGGAUUCACUGGGUUUAAAGGGUGCGUAGGCGGGCAGGUAAGUCCGCGGUGAAAUCCUGGGGCUUAACCCCAGAACUGCCGUUGAUACUAUCUGUCUUGAAUAUUGUGGAGGUGAGCGGAAUAUGUCAUGUAGCGGUGAAAUGCUUAGAUAUGACAUAGAACACCAAUUGCGAAGGCAGCUCACUACGCAGUUAUUGACGCUGAGGCACGAAAGCGUGGGGAUCAAACAGGAUUAGAUACCCGCGUAGUCC
Molecule: ribosomal RNA, 292 nt
Filed under: uncultured bacterium
Lineage: Bacteria
Description: partial 16S ribosomal RNA
Rfam family: Bacterial small subunit ribosomal RNA
Source: RNAcentral